UUGGGUUUGUCCUAAGUCAAAUCUCGUCAAGUUUGACCAAGUUAGACAAAUAUAGCAGUAUUUUCAACACAAAAUAAAUAUACUAUAAAAAUAUAUCCAAUGAUGGAUUUAAUGAAACUAAUUUGAUGUCGUAAAUGUUGGUAUGUUUUUCUACAAACUUGGUUAAACUUUAAAAGGUUUGACUUAGACAAAUCUAAA
Oryza glaberrima (African rice) is the source of this 198-nucleotide non-coding RNA. The record is from Rfam. NCBI's taxonomy places the organism in Eukaryota, Viridiplantae, Streptophyta, Magnoliopsida, Poales, Poaceae.